Dalotia coriaria is the source of this 1957-nucleotide long non-coding RNA. RefSeq lists it as uncharacterized. The record is from RefSeq and is a predicted model, not a curated record. NCBI's taxonomy places the organism in Eukaryota, Metazoa, Arthropoda, Insecta, Coleoptera, Staphylinidae. The transcript is spliced from 3 exons.
AGCAUCUACACUCAUUCGUUCGGUAUAGUCUGUCAUGUUUAGAUCGUAGCGCAUCGAAAUUUCGAAAUUCCCUCAGCGGCCGACGGCCAUCGUCGCGUGACUCUUCGGCGGCCAUUUUGUACGCGUUCCUCACGCUCGCGUACCUACAUACCGAGAAAAUGUCUACGAUUUAAGAAAACGGUCGAUGUGUGAUGAUUAAAAGUAUAAACAUCAAUUAACAACCAAAACGUCGGUUAAAAUGGAAUAAAACAUCGUUGUUUGCAACAUCUUAACAACAAACAAUCAAGAAGAAUAAAUUUAAACAAAUUUUACAAACAAAACAAGAAUUUUCACAGUUGUGAGAGUUAUUAAGAGUACCAUUCGAAGAAGAUAUCAAGAGCAUCUGGGGCUCCUUGCUGGUCGAUAGUUAAAAUAGAAAACUAGGUACUUAUUAAUAAUUUAAGAAGAAAAAUAAAUGAAAAAUGAUUGCAUUGUCACACCGAAAGGAAGCAACAAAUAUGAGUAGAUUAUUUGAGUAUUGCAAAGAGAAGACCCAAGAAAAAAGGGUAACAAGAGGGUUCAGCAUCCCCCUAAACAACAAGAUAGUCAUACGCGCAUGCGUAGUAGUAUUUCAGUUAAUUUGAUAGUAAAAAACACUUAAUAAUGAAGAUUUCAUACCCCCAAUCGUUACCUUCAGCGUUUUUUCAAGUUAAGUCAUUACAUUAGACCUAACCUCAAAGUACGAGAACCUCUAGCCUAAGAAGAAAUCUACAUAUAAGCCUACAUUGCCAUUCUUAACUACAUAGUAAAUAUCAUAGUAAUAGCGAUUGUGUUCUCAAGUCAAGAAGUGUAUUCGACUAAAUACGCUCGCCCAGUCCCACAACGAGUGUGGAUAUGUGCAUGAAGAUGGCGCUGUGUGACAUUGCACGCCAAUGUUUAGGCUAUGGAAAUUUGGUAUACUCUGCAUUUAACCUCAAAAUUCGCACAUCAUAUGAGUGGCGUGCGGUGUGGAUGCGUACAUGCGUGGCGUGACGCGGCGUUGGGUUUGGAUCGUGCGGCAUUGUUCCAGCGCGCGACUGGUUAGAUGGCGGUAGUGGCGCGGUCGCAGUGAAGCGUUGGCGGCCCGUCCGCCGUCGUGCUAAUACGGUUGCUGCAUUGCGCGGAAAAAUUGCCGCAAGGGUUGGACGCGACGACUGUGCUUGCGUGUACGCGCAUGCGCAUUUCAACUCAGUGCACUUGGAUUGUCCAUUCGCUCUCGGGGGCUUAUAGAAUUACGACGCGAGUGUUUAAAGGAUUGUUUGAAGUUAUGCUUCGUUUAUAAAAUGUUGGGGAUGUGGAAUCUAAUAUCAAAUUCUGUUUAAAAUUGGAUGCGUCAUCAGUCAAGAGAUGUACAUAUAGGUUAAUUAAUUUUUUAAGAGUAAGCAUUAUCUCAAGCCAUUACCAGAUCAUAAUUUAUUAUUAUUCUGCAAAGGAAGGUUUUUUUAUAGGGGCCAUAAUAUGAAAAAUUCAUAACAUUCCAAAUUCUUCGUGUAGGAACAAGAUUGCAAAUUUCGUCAUUAAUUUCUCUCUUUUAACAAUUAACUAAUUCUAAACUUACAUUAUUGAAACUUUUUUUUCACCGGACUGAUGACGCGUCGCACACACACACACACACAACACACAAUUAAUAAUAGUAAGCGAUAGUAAUUUAUAGGUUAGAAUGAAAUGUUAGGAUUAAUAUUUAUGUAAAUUAGGUAGGUAGAUGAAGUUAAUAAUUAUAGAAUGCAUUGAAGACUGUGAAGAAGAAGAAGAAGAAGAAGCUAAUGUUACCUUGGUAAACUCGAGUUGUGUGGAUAGAAGUCUCUGCACCUGCUGGAUGAUGAGGGUGCGAGAGGUCCUGGCUGUGGAGCUUGCACGUUGCAGGAUUUGUUGCAUUUUAUUCUUCUUGAUUGUUGGAAGUUUCGAUUAAAAUUAUGUGUAAAAUCUGUAAAAGUGAAAA